UUUCCUUUCUUUGACAGGAAAUUCUGGUGAUUAAAGAUCAUGGCAACCAUAGAGGAACUGGCCCAUCAAAUUAUUGAACAGCAAAUGGGAGAGAUUACCCAUUCGCAAGGAGCUGUUACACAAACACUAAUGGAUGGGACAGCACAACGAAUACAGAUUGUCCCUGCAGAUUCAGGCCUCUCUUUACCACAGCGCAUACAGAUUGUCACAGAUCAGCAGACGGGCCAGAAGAUUCAGAUUGUUACAGCACUUGAUCAGAGCUCAGCAGGCAAGCAGUUCAUCCUAACAAAUCAUGAUGGCUCUACCCCAAGCAAGGUGAUCCUUGCCAGACAAGAUUCCACUCCAGGAAAAGUUUUCCUAGCAACUCCAGAUGCUGCAGGUGUCAACCAACUGUUUUUUGCAUCCCCUGAUAUAUCUGCACAACACAUCCAGAUCUUAACAGACAACUCUUCCACUGAACAGGCCCUAAAUAAAGUGUUUGAUCUGUGUGUUGUAUGUGGAGACAAGGCAUCAGGGCGUCACUACGGAGCAGUAACUUGUGAGGGAUGCAAAGGAUUCUUUAAAAGGAGCAUACGAAAGAAUUUAGUUUAUUCAUGCCGAGGAACAAAAGACUGUGUCAUUAACAAACACCACCGGAAUCGAUGUCAGUACUGUAGGCUGCAGAGAUGCAUCGCGUUUGGAAUGAAACAAGAUUCUGUUCAAUGUGAGAGGAAACCUAUUGAAGUGUCAAGAGAAAAAUCUUCGAACUGUGCAGCUUCUACAGAAAAGAUCUACAUUCGGAAAGAUCUUCGCAGCCCAUUAGCUGCAACUCCAACUUUUGUAACAGACAAUGAAACAGCAAGAUCAACAGGUCUGCUGGAAUCAGGAAUGUUUGUUAAUAUUCAUCAGUCUGGAAUAAAAAGUGAGCCUACUGUGCUGAUGACUCCAGAUAAGGUUGAAGCAUGUCAGGGAGAUUUAAGCACACUGGCAAAUGUGGUGACAUCGUUAGCAAAUCUAAGUAAAUCCAAAGACAUGUCUCAAAGCAGUACUGAGCUAUCUAUGAUUGAGAGUUUAAGUAACGGAGAUACAUCAUUAUCUGAACUCCAGCAAGAAGAGCAAGCUAGUAGUGACGUUACGAGGGCAUUUGAUACUCUUGCAAAAGCAUUAAAUCCAGGAGAGAGUGCAGCAUGCCAAAACUCUGAAAGUAUUGAAGCCAGCGUACAGCUGAUUGGCGGAGAAACAAGCAUGAAUAUCGUUGAAAUAGAGGGGCCGCUACUCAGUGAUGCACACGUGGCAUUCAGGCUUACCAUGCCUUCUCCUAUGCCUGAAUAUCUGAACGUUCACUAUAUCUGCGAGUCUGCCUCCAGAUUGCUUUUCUUGUCCAUGCACUGGGCACGUUCCAUUCCAUCUUUCCAAGCUUUAGGACAGGAUAACAGCAUAUCAUUAGUAAAAGCCUGCUGGAAUGAACUUUUUACACUUGGUCUUGCACAAUGUUCACAAGUGAUGAACGUGGCAACUAUAUUAACUGCAUUUGUUAAUCACCUUCAUGGCAGUUUACAGCAAGAUAAGCUGCCAACAGACAGAGGAAAACUUGUAAUGGAGCAUAUCUUCAAACUGCAAGAGUUCUGUAACAGUAUGGUUAAGCUUUGCCUGGAUGGCUAUGAAUAUGCUUACUUGAAAGCAAUCGUCCUCUUCAGUCCUGAUCACCCAGGUCUUGAAAACGUAGUACAGAUUGAGAAAUUUCAAGAAAAGGCCUACAUGGAGUUCCAAGACUACGUAACAAAAGCAUAUCCGGAUGAUACUUACAGACUGUCUAGACUUCUUCUCCGAUUGCCAGCUCUUAGACUGAUGAGUGCUGCUAUUACCGAAGAGCUGUUCUUUGCAGGACUAAUUGGAAAUGUUCAGAUUGAUAGCAUCAUCCCAUAUAUUCUGCGAAUGGAGACAGCAGACUACAACUCUCAAAUAAUUGGUCAUGCUGUAUAAAAGUAGAAAUCAAGGAUUCUGUACCAUGGCAGUCAUGGUGAUGUAAAUGCAUACCCUGUCUCCAAGAGAUGGCAAUAAGCCUUCCAAGCACCUUUCACAAGAAGGCUAAAAUUCCUCCUUUCCAGUACACUUGGGAAAUGCAGUGGAGUGUCUUAAAGAAUAUAGGAUCACUUCCUAUUUUUCAGCUGAUCUUCAAGGACUUGUAAAUUAACUUGGUAUCUGAAGAAAAUCAAGAAUUGUCCAUCCUAUUUUUGUAGAUAGGUGAACUUGGAAUAUUUGUUUAUGAAGUCCAGGCUUGUGAAGAAACUGAAGAAGCUUUGACUGAACUAAGGAAUGGGUCUAAACAGUUGGUGUACCUUGCCUGAAUCGUACUCCACAGCUCUAUCUAAGGGUAGGUUCAAACUUUUUUCUGUCUUGUGAUGCACCUCACUGCCAAGUAACACUGAUGCGGGCUCACAGUUCUUUGGACCACUAUCACUACUAACUGCUGGGUCAAGAGAAGAGUAGUCUCUUCUCUUUCUUAGGCUAUGUUAACUCGAGCACAAGAAGCUUGGUCUUACGUUUCACAUCAGACUGUUUCCAUUUAGGUGUUUGAACCAUGUUCCUGCUGCUUUGAUGCCUGUCAUCUCUGUAGGACAGCAGGAGAUCUAAACCUCAAUGGCUGACUUUUUCCACUCCCACACCUUUCACUGUUCUUUUUCCCGGAGAAUCCUUUGGGCUUCCUCUGGGGUUUUUGCCAGAUCACCCAAAUCAGGAAAUUAACCCAUCCAUUUUUUUCUUUCCAAAUCCUUGAUUUCCAGGCCUGAGACUUCCCUUCAAAGGUUGGGUCGUGAGAGAAUAUAGAAAAUAUUGUCUUCUUAUUUGCAUAGGACAGAGACUUUCAGACAUCCUUUGAUCUAGUUAUCUUGACAGGUGAGAAAUCAAACAGGAAAUCGCCAAAAUAGAUAACAGAUUGUAUCAUCUCUGUUUUGAAAACAAUACAAUUAAGUUACCAUCAGUAAUCAGAAUAUAUCCUUAAUAGUUCUCUGACUACAUUUGGGACUUGGUUCAGUAAUAGCUAUUUUUUUCUUAUCUUUGCAAACUGGACAGUUGGAGCUUCAUUCAUCUAGUGAGCUUGAUUUGACAAGUUCAAGAAAUCUUCAACCAAAGAACAAAACAGUCUCCCCUAGCCACUUUUUCUGACGAUAUGCGCCUAGGGAGCGCCUAGUUAUCUCAGAGAUUCCAGUUACUUGUGCGUUGUCCAUAUGUGUGUUAACUGCAUACCCAUCUCCCUUGAUUUGUUGGGAUGUUAUACCCUCUACACUUGUUGUCAAGUGCAAGAAAAGAGAAAGAUGUGGGUAUAUUCCUGCAGUGUUCUGAGGGCCAAAAAAACCCAUUUCUGAUCUUGAAUACCUCUGAUGUUUGGACAUCUGUAGAGCCAAUGUGCUUUUAAGCAACACGUUUCAAAGAGCUCCGGCUACGGGUAAGUAACCUUUUUUUCCAAAAUUUUCUUAAAAUUUCCAUAAUAAUAAACUUUCAUUAUUCAGUUCAGUGCUGGUUUAAGGUGGGAUGCGGGCUGCCCUAUGCUGCCUGGCAAGUAAUCUGUCAUGUCUUCAUGAUGAUCCCAUAGUGCAGGUUGUUGCUUCUACGUUAUUCGCUUUGCUCAUCAAGGUUUUCUAUUAAUCAUUUUGAGUUCUUAAACUAUAAAUUUCAUGCUUUUGAAAAGGAACGAGGCAUAAGGUGGGUUUUCUCAGGAAUGGGAGCGUAAAUUAAUACAGGGAUGAAUAUGCAUGUUUCCGUUUCUGGCUUUUUAAAGGUAACUGCUGCUCAAUUAAAUGACCAUAUUAAAUUACCUUCAGCUCAGGCGCUUAGUGUUUCUAACAGCCAUUUGUUCUAAUGACAUGCUCUCACACUACCACCUCUGUGAUUUACUGUCAUUUUUUUCUUAUGAAUAAAUAUUCUUUGCUACUGAAUGAACGUCUGGCUAAUAUUACUCUUUUUUCAUGCUGUUCAGUGACGUUAAUGAUCUGUUAACAGAAAUGUAAAUAUUGACACUCACUCCACCACGGACGUUAAACCAUUUCAAUAUUUUUGUGACUUUUCCCUUUCACCCUUAAUUUAUUUUUCAGCUUUUUGAUCUUCAACACUCUUGCAGUUUUCACACCCAAUCAGGACUUAACCAAAUUGAUGCAUUUAGUAGCUGAUAAAUAGUAGUCUCCUUACCAAUGAAAGGACAAGUUUAUUUUCAACAGCUUUAAAUUUUUCAAUCUUAAGAGGAAUAAAAGUGAUUUUUAGUAUAAACUGCAUGAAUGGAAAAAUGAGUAAUUUUAUACCUUUUAGAAUCUUAUCAUUAAAGAUGGGAGCAAUGUUAUACAUAAUGAACUGACUAGUUCAAAACAUUUUUCUUAAAACUGUGUGUUGUAAAUUUAUAAUACAUGUGACCAGGUUGCUUGCUUCAUACUGGUAAAGUUCCUUGGAAAAAACAGUUGUAUUUGAAAGUUUUUCGAAAGUACUUUCAUUGCAAUACCAUCAGCAGUCACAAACUUACCCUGCCAAUACAUUUCUUCUGUCUGUGCUCUUCAGCGUCAGUGAAAGUCAGUCAGUCAUUGGUCUGCUCAUUUUGUUUGGCUUCUAGUUUGCUUAGUAGAUCACUUUUAAUGUAAGCAAUGGAAUAUCACUGUAAUUGUCUUGCUGUUGUAUAAAAGUCGCUGUAAAUGUCUUGAAACCUGACUAAAAUUGUAAAUUCUAUUUUGGCUGUAUUUUUUAAAAUAAAUUGUAACUUUCUAUUACAGAAAACAAUUGUAAUAACCUAUUAGUUUGGUAGUGUUUUAUAUGAAAUGACAUAUAGACCGAAAACAGUGUAUAUGAUUACAAAGAGCGUGUGGAUAUUUCACACUUCUAUUACACACUGUAGUAUUGUCGAUUAUAUUGAGACUCUGGGAUUUGUGAUAGUUGCAGUGUUUUGCUGUCUUGUACCCUUUGUUGCUAUUAACCUUUUGGUUUUGUGCAUACUACUUUCUGGCCUAUGAAUUUGCAUAUUUGAAAGUUUAAUAGUUUAUUACCAGCAUUUUUGGCUUUUAAAACACUAUGUAGAAAUGUACUACACUGAACUCUGGUCACAGACCUUCAUAUAAUAUAAUGCAACAAUCUGUCAUUAUUCAAUUCAUUAUGGAUCAGUUUUAAGUUGGAAGUGAGUGUAUGGUUGGACACUUUUUCUUUAGAAAAAAAUACAGGCUUCAUCUGUUUAGGUGUAAUUAUAAUCAUGUCUGUUUUAAACUUUACUAGAUAAAUAAUGAAUUUAUCCAUGAUUAUUACUG
Struthio camelus australis is the source of this 5258-nucleotide non-coding RNA. The record is from RefSeq and is a predicted model, not a curated record. Lineage: Eukaryota; Metazoa; Chordata; Aves; Struthioniformes; Struthionidae.